UGAAAGGCGUGGAGAUCUGAAGGAAUACCGGUGGCGAAGGCGGCCCCCGGGACAGAUACGGACACUCGGAUGCGAAAGCGUGGGGGGCAAACAGGAUUAGAUGCCCUGGUAGUCCACGCCGUAAACGAUGUCUACUUGGAGGUUGUGGCCUUGGGCCGUGGCUUUCGGAGCUAACGCGUUAAGUAGACCGCCUGGGGAGUACGGUCGCAAGAUUAAAACUCAAAUGAAUUGACGGGGGCCCGCACAAGCGGUGGAGCAUGUGGUCUAAUUCGAUGCAACGCGAAGAACCUUACCUACUCUUGACAUCCAGAGAACUUUCCAGAGAUGGAUUGGUACCUUCGGGAACUCUGAGACAGGUGCUGCAUGGCUGUCGUCAGCUCGUGUUGUUAAAUGU
RNAcentral lists this ribosomal RNA (394 nucleotides) under Vibrio parahaemolyticus. RNAcentral's name for it is "bacterial SSU rRNA". It matches the Rfam family "Bacterial small subunit ribosomal RNA", at positions 682 to 1075 of the family's 1533-position model. Lineage: Bacteria; Pseudomonadati; Pseudomonadota; Gammaproteobacteria; Vibrionales; Vibrionaceae. The record is from RNAcentral.